Molecule: RNA transcript, 1740 nt
Organism: Eubalaena glacialis (North Atlantic right whale)
Lineage: Eukaryota; Metazoa; Chordata; Mammalia; Artiodactyla; Balaenidae
Gene: GPSM3
Gene name: G protein signaling modulator 3
Exons: 5
Source: RefSeq, a predicted model, not a curated record
AGCCCCUACUCCCCUCAGGAACUCAGGGUUCCGGCCCUCCUCCCAAAUCCCAGCUACCCCUCCCCCAUCGGUUUCUCCCCUCCAGGGGAUGGAGGCUGAGAGACCCCAGGAAGAAGAGGAUGGUGAGCAGCAUCAGGGCCCCCAUCAGGAUGAGCAUGGCUGGCCCCCUGUGAACACCAGCAAUCGGCCUUGGCGAUCUGCUCCUCCGUCCCCUCCUCCUCCAGGGUCCCGCCACACAGCGCUGGGGCCCCGCUCGGCCUCCCUGCUCUCCCUGCAGACUGAGCUCCUUCUGGACCUGGUGGCUGAGGCCCAGUCCCGCCGCCUAGAAGAGCAGAGGGCCACCUUCCAUCCCCCCCAGAACCGUCCAAGCCUAGGCCGAGCCCCGCCCCGGCCUCUUGAGGACAGAGAACAGCUCUACAGCACCAUCCUCAGUCACCAGAGCCAGCGGAUGGAAGCCCAGCGGUCAGAGCCUCCCUUACCCCCAGGGGGACAGGAGCUCCUGGAGUUGCUGCUGAGAGUUCAGGGUGGGGGUCGAAUGGAGGAGCAAAGAUCCCAGCCCCCCACACACACCUGCUGAGACUUGAGCCCCACCAGCCCCUCUGCACUCCUGGGGCUCAAAAGCUGGGCAGCCCACUGCAUGCCCUCAACCCUGCCAGGCAGGGGCACCAGAGACUGGAAGACCCAGCAGAAAUCUCAAUAUUCAUCGCCCUCAUCCACCUUUCCUGGGAACUGGAGCGGGUGAAAGUCCUCAAACCCUGGGAAUAGUCAAGACCCAGCAGAAGCCCCAUUCACAAGCUCUGAAUCUUCUGGGAGCCCCCCAACUCCAGGACCCUCCCCAGGAUACUACAGCUCUUCUCUCUUCUCCUUACUCCCGGGAGAGCCCCAAGAUAAGUGAUCCCUCUCAAACCUUCCUUCACCCCCAGUCCCUGAAACCUUCAAAAAGGGGAACGCUAGGUGGUCUCCCCCCCAGUCUCUCACUGACCCCCGCCCACACACACACACAUACACACACACACACACACACACACACACUCCCCUGGAACAUCUUUCCAUCUCCAGAGCCCUCUUCUGGCUCCCAGACUAAGAAACAGCUAUGCUGUCUUCUCCCCUAACUCUCCAGCCCACCCUCAUCCUAGGGGCCUCCACACCCCUUCCCAGGACUGUGACCCUUUCUCUCCAUGCAUGGCCCAGCCUCCAAGGGUCCUCACUCACCCUUUGCCCCUGCUCAGCUGACACUAGGAGCAUCAGAGCCUCCCAGCCUGCUCAGUCCCAGGACCCUUCACACACCUCUAUACUGAACUCCCCACUUAAGCUCAGCACCCCUAACCCCCUCUGGCACCUCAAGCUCUGACUCUUCUCCCCAGCCUCCUCCUGUCUUCCGCUGAAAUUUACCUAGUCACUCUCAUUUCUGCAGCCAUUCCCCAAAUCCCCUCUGUACCCUUCUAGACCAUCUCCCACAGCCUCCACCCGGCCAUGGUGCCUUUAGCCUACUGCACCUUCCCUCCUCCGUCCAGCCACAGCCAAGCAGCUUCCCCACGUCUCCACACUCUGGGAGCUGAGCUCUUCCCAAGAACCCCCCAACUCCAUUCGGCCUCCAAUCCUGCUUUCCCCCGCCACAGAUUUACCCACCACCUCCCUUAUUCCCAGGCUCCCCUCUCUUACCCUCAUGGGUGUGUCGUUUUGUGGUUGUCUUUCCCACUCCCCCAUUUCUGUAGCCUCUCAAUUUUUCUCUCCCAUUCC